AUUGAACGCUGGCGGCAUGCUUUACACAUGCAAGUCGAACGGCAGCGCGGGGCACCCUGGCGUCAGUUGGCGAACGGUUAAUUAAUAUAUCGGAACUUCCCCAGAAGGGGGGGUAAACUUAGCGAAGGUUCCCCUAAUACCGCUACCGAUCUACGGAUGAAGGUAGGGGCCCCCAAGGCCUUAUGCUUUUGGAGCGGCCGAUAUCUGAUUAGCUAGUUGGUGAGGUAAAGGCUCACCAAGGCGACGAUCAGUAGCUGGUCUGAGAGGACGACCAGCCACACUGGAACUGAGACACGGUCCAGACUCCUACGGGAGGCAGCAGUGGGGAAUUUUGGACAAUGGGCGCAAGCCUGAUCCAGCAAUGCCGCGUGAGUGAAGAAGGCCUUCGGGUUGUAAAGCUCUUUUGUCAGGGAAGAAACGGUAGAGGCUAAUAUCCUUUGCUAAUGACGGUACCUGAAGAAUAAGCACCGGCUAACUACGU
Molecule: ribosomal RNA, 481 nt
Filed under: uncultured bacterium
Lineage: Bacteria
Description: partial 16S ribosomal RNA
Rfam family: Bacterial small subunit ribosomal RNA
Source: RNAcentral